Molecule: long non-coding RNA, 2114 nt
Organism: Branchiostoma floridae (Florida lancelet)
Lineage: Eukaryota; Metazoa; Chordata; Leptocardii; Amphioxiformes; Branchiostomatidae
Exons: 5
Source: RefSeq, a predicted model, not a curated record
GAAGUUUUCUGUGACUGUGUCGAUAGUCGGGAUUGCAUUCGGUCAGUUUUGUAAGUUAUGUUCUUUAGUAAACAGAGUCUUCCCCGGUUAACUCACCAUCUGUUCAAUUUCUGUUUUUAUGUCGUGGUCAGUGGUUGUCGGGACUUCCUUGACCAUUACAUAAGCUGCCUUGUGCCGUUAUCUUGGGUCCCGAACCAAGAGAACGACACAGGCCAGAAAGGAAGACAGGUGACUGAAAGCAUAGCAGUUAAUUCCUUUAGAAACACUCGAAUUCCCGGCGUCGACACAGUCACAGAAACCGAAUCAGCUAUGCACUGGGCUUUGUAUACCAUAGAAACAAAAAUUGCUGUCGACAAUUAAACCGAAAGAAACAGCAACAUUACUUCCACUUCAUCAAAGCGCACUCAACAUCCUGCCACCCAUCAUGAGAUCAUGAUUCUUCCAGCUAUUUCUAUGUUAAACCUAUAUUUCGUAAUUUAAUUUUGUCUUUUCUUUUCUUUUCUACCGAGGAUCAUUGCAGCGUAGGAAGACAUGCCUGGACGUGGGAAAGCUGCCAAGGACUGGUGAAGGAAGUUGCCGAAGAUGAACGAAAGGGAUUUUCCUGCACAUAUGACAAGGAAUGCGUACGGAAUGUGACAGCGGUCGAGCCCUAGCUACCAGAGGACCUGAAACUAAGUUAAGUUCUUGUGUGUCUUAUGGAAUGUAAAUUGCCUAGCCUUAGCUUAGCAAACUCAUGGUAGAUGGUAAGGUGCUGAGUAUGCUUUGUUGACAUGCCGAGUGAUGAUGCUGGUAGAGGUUUAUAUUAGGACACUUUGUAAAUGGAGGCUCCUUUUCGGGGCUUUAGCUAUUUCUGUGGUGUACAGGCCUGGUGUGUGGCUGAUUUUGUUUCUGAAGGUUUCUGUGACUGUGUCGAUAGUCGGGAUUGCAUUCGGUCAGUUUUGUAAGUUAUGUUCUUUAGUAAACAGGGUCUUCCCUGGUUAACUCACCAUCUGUUCAAUUUCUGUUUUUAUGUCGUGGUCAGUGGUUGUCGGGACUUCCUUGGCCAUUACAUAAGCUGCCUUGUGCCGUUAUCUUGGGUCCCGAACCAAGAGAACGACACAGGCCAGAAAGGAAGACAGGUGACUGAAAGCAUAGCAGUUAAUUCCUUUAGAAACACUCGAAUUCCCGGCGUCGACACAGUCAAGGAAACCGAAUCAGCUAUGCACUGGGCUUUGUAUACCAUAGAAACAAAAAAUUCUGUCGAAAAUUAAACCGAAAGAAACAGCAACAUUACUUCCAUUUCAUCAAAGCGCACUCAACAUCCUGCCACCCAUCAUGAGAUCAUGAUUCUUCCAGCUAUUUCUAUGUUAAACCUAUAUUUCGUAAUUUAAUUUUGUCUUUUCUUUUCUUUUCUACUUAGGAUCAUUGCAGCGUAGGAAGACAUGCCUGGACGUGGGAAAGCUGCCAAGGACUGGUGAAGGAAGUUGCCGAAGAUGAACGAAAGGGAUUUUCCUGCACAUAUGACAAGUAAUGUGUAGGGAUUGUGACAGUGGUCCUCGCGGAAGGCGUCUUUGUGCCUUCUCUCGUGGGUUUAAUUGGAAGUGUUCAUUAGUUUCUUUAGAAGACAUUCCAUGACUUCAUGUUUAGAUGUCUUGAUGAACAUGGGACCUUUCCCAGACAUCUGACAAGCAAUGUCUGGACGUGCUAAGGGAAAGGUGGGCAGAGAAGGUGCCAGGCGUCACAGUCACGAAUGCGCUUCACAACAUCCGGAGAGACAGUACUAGUGGUCCUCGCGGAAGGCGUCUUGAUGCCUCCUCUCGUUGUGGGUUUUCUUGGAAGUCUUCCUCAGCUUCUUCAGAAGACAUUCCUUGACUUCAUGUUUAGAUGUCUUGAUGGACAUGGGACCUUUCCCAGACAUUUGACAAGCAAUGUCUGGACGUGCUAAGGGAAAGGUGGGCAGAGGAGGUGCCAGGCGUCACAGUCACAAAUGCGCUUCACGGCAUCCGGAGAGACAGUGGUCCUGGCGGAAGGCGUCUUGAUGCCUCCUCUCGUUGUGGGUUUCCUUGGAAGUCUUCCUCAUCUUCUUCAGAAGACAUUCCUUGACUUUGUGGACAUGGGACCUUUCCCAGACAUCU